UACGUAGGGUGCGAGCGUUGUCCGGAAUUACUGGCGUAAAGAGCUCGUAGGCGGUUUGUCGCGUCGUCCGUGAAAACUUGGGGCUCAACCCCAAGCUUGCGGGCGAUACGGGCAGACUUGAGUACUGCAGGGAGGACUGGAAUUCCUGGUGUAGCGGUGAAAUGCGCAGAUAUCAGGAGGAACACCGGUGGCGAAGGCGGGUCUCUGGGCAGUUCCUGACGCUGAGGCGCGAAAGCUAGGGGAGCGAACGGG
Molecule: ribosomal RNA, 252 nt
Filed under: uncultured bacterium
Lineage: Bacteria
Description: partial 16S ribosomal RNA
Rfam family: Bacterial small subunit ribosomal RNA
Source: RNAcentral